Molecule: ribosomal RNA, 465 nt
Filed under: uncultured Klebsiella sp.
Lineage: Bacteria; Pseudomonadati; Pseudomonadota; Gammaproteobacteria; Enterobacterales; Enterobacteriaceae
Description: bacterial SSU rRNA
Rfam family: Bacterial small subunit ribosomal RNA
Source: RNAcentral
CCUACGGGAGGCUGCAGUGGGGAAUAUUGCACAAUGGGCGCAAGCCUGAUGCAGCCAUGCCGCGUGUGUGAAGAAGGCCUUCGGGUUGUAAAGCACUUUCAGCGGGGAGGAAGGCGGUGAGGUUAAUAACCUCAUCGAUUGACGUUACCCGCAGAAGAAGCACCGGCUAACUCCGUGCCAGCAGCCGCGGUAAUACGGAGGGUGCAAGCGUUAAUCGGAAUUACUGGGCGUAAAGCGCACGCAGGCGGUCUGUCAAGUCGGAUGUGAAAUCCCCGGGCUCAACCUGGGAACUGCAUUCGAAACUGGCAGGCGAGAGUCUUGUAGAGGGGGGUAGAAUUCCGGGUGUAGCGGUGAAAUGCGUAGAGAUCUGGAGGAAUACCGGUGGCGAAGGCGGCCCCCUGGACAAAGACUGACGCUCAGGUGCGAAAGCGUGGGGAGCAAACAGGAUUAGAUACCCUAGUAGUC